Molecule: long non-coding RNA, 532 nt
Filed under: Hordeum vulgare
Lineage: Eukaryota; Viridiplantae; Streptophyta; Magnoliopsida; Poales; Poaceae
Description: long non-coding RNA (HVUL_LNC007698)
Source: RNAcentral
CAAGCUGGCUUAUGUCACUGUUACGGAGCUCCUUCUGCAGAAUAACUCGCAACCCGGGCACUUGAUGCUACACAAACAUUCUAGAAUCUAUUAAUACAAUGGACUAGUUCGAUUAACACUGUUUCCUUCUCUAAAAAAUACUUCCUAUAUGUUUUGCAUAAGUCUUACAUCUGGAUCUAGAGCAACUCUAUUUAAAUCCAGCUCACUUACCUAUCACAAAAAACGAAUUCAUUUAGGGAGCAGGCAGAAAAAUAAAAUCAAGUACCACAUUAGACGUGUCUAUCUCUAAAUUGAAUUGGAAAUCCUUAUUUCUAAGUUGACAAUCCUGAGCAUUGAUUCUUCAUCCAACGGAAAAAAAUAGUUGCAAGUUGUAGAUUGUGUACAGUUUAGUUAACAUGGAAAUGAUUAUUUUAAGCUUAUGACAAAAGUGUAGAUAGCAAGUGUCUUAAAAUUGUACGUACUACAAAUGCCCUCUUACACCAGUUCUGUCCAUCAUAGUAAUAGAAAUGAUGCUAUGGUCACACAGUUUUCA